GCAGAAGGAAAAGAGGACACACAUAUCCACCAUGGGCCUCUUCGUCCAUCUCACGUGAUUCCCGGCAUCUCUCCUUGCGGUUACUGAUGGCCACACGAACAAAUGCUAGAUGCAGAGUUGCUGGAUCAGAAGAUAGGCAUUUGAAAAUAACCAAAAAUGUUAAGA
This is a long non-coding RNA of Myotis davidii, 165 nucleotides long. RefSeq lists it as uncharacterized. NCBI's taxonomy places the organism in Eukaryota, Metazoa, Chordata, Mammalia, Chiroptera, Vespertilionidae. The record is from RefSeq and is a predicted model, not a curated record. The transcript is spliced from 3 exons.